Molecule: ribosomal RNA, 484 nt
Filed under: uncultured bacterium
Lineage: Bacteria
Description: partial 16S ribosomal RNA
Rfam family: Bacterial small subunit ribosomal RNA
Source: RNAcentral
AUUGAACGCUGGCGGCAGGCCUAACACAUGCAAGUCGAGCGGAUGAAGGGAGCUUGCUCCUGGAUUCAGCGGCGGACGGGUGAGUAAUGCCUAGGAAUCUGCCUGGUAGUGGGGGAUAACGUCCGGAAACGGGCGCUAAUACCGCAUACGUCCUGAGGGAGAAAGUGGGGGAUCUUCGGACCUCACGCUAUCAGAUGAGCCUAGGUCGGAUUAGCUAGUUGGUGGGGUAAAGGCCUACCAAGGCGACGAUCCGUAACUGGUCUGAGAGGAUGAUCAGUCACACUGGAACUGAGACACGGUCCAGACUCCUACGGGAGGCAGCAGUGGGGAAUAUUGGACCAUGGGCGAAAGCCUGUUCCAGCCAUGCCGCGUGUGUGAAGAAGGUCUUCGGAUUGUAAAGCACUUUAAGUUGGGAGGAAGGGCAGUAAGUUAAUACCUUGCUGUUUUGACGUUACCAACAGAAUAAGCACCGGCUAGCUUCGUG